Long non-coding RNA from Grammomys surdaster, 161 nucleotides. RefSeq lists it as uncharacterized. The transcript is spliced from 2 exons. NCBI's taxonomy places the organism in Eukaryota, Metazoa, Chordata, Mammalia, Rodentia, Muridae. The record is from RefSeq and is a predicted model, not a curated record.
CUGGACCUCUAUAAAAAGCUGCCACCCACAAUCAGGAUGGUCUUCUGCUGUCAAUCAAGGCAAUCAGCACAUGUCUUCAGACCACAUGGUUCUGACGUGAUGACUAAUCUUGGCUGACAAUGUGGCUAUCUCUGGAAUCAAUUAAAAUGCAAGCUUCUGGA